GACGAACGCUGGCGGCGUGCCUAAUACAUGCAAGUAGCACGCAGUUGCGAACGGGUGAGUAACGCGUAGGUAACUGCCUGGUAGCGGGGGAUAACUAUUGGAAACGAUAGCUAAUACCGCAUACUACCAGAUGGACCUGCGUUGUAUUAGCUAGUUGGUGAGGUAACGGCCCACCAAGGCAACGAUACAUAGCCGGCCUGAGAUGGUGAGCGGGCAAACUGGGACUGGGACACGGCCCAGACUCCUACGGGAGGCAGCAGUAGGGAAACUUCGGCAAUGGGGGGAACCCUGGCCGAGCAAAGCCGCGUGAGUGAAGAAGGUUUUCGGAGCGUAAAGCUCUGUUGUUAAGGAAGCGGUACUUAACCAGAAAGGAUCGGCUAACUCCGUGCCAGCAGCCGCGGUAAUUC
This 407-nucleotide ribosomal RNA is filed under the name uncultured bacterium. RNAcentral describes it as "partial 16S ribosomal RNA". It matches the Rfam family "Bacterial small subunit ribosomal RNA", at positions 28 to 526 of the family's 1533-position model. The record is from RNAcentral.